RNAcentral lists this long non-coding RNA (212 nucleotides) under Lathyrus oleraceus (garden pea). RNAcentral describes it as "Pisum sativum (pea) long non-coding RNA (PSAT_LNC030762)". The record is from RNAcentral. Lineage: Eukaryota; Viridiplantae; Streptophyta; Magnoliopsida; Fabales; Fabaceae.
AAGCCAUUCGGUAACGGUCAGCGCAGGAACGAGGGUGAAUCGAGUGCUGUGUAUGCCCAGGGAGGACACGGUAGGGAUCGUUACUACCAGCACACUGCUGCUGUAACCAUCCCUGCUGGUAAUCAGUCUGCACGACAGCAACGUCAGCCACCUCAACAGAGAGCCGGGUACCAGAUGAGGGGAAAAGGGAUUGAUCGCUAUUUUGACAAGCC